GAUGAACGCUGGCGGCGUGCCUAAUACAUGCAAGUCGAGCGAACGGACGAGAAGCUUGCUUCUCUGAUGUUAGCGGCGGACGGGUGAGUAACACGUGGAUAACCUACCUAUAAGACUGGGAUAACUUCGGGAAACCGGAGCUAAUACCGGAUGAUAUUUUGAACCGCAUGGUUCAAAAGUGAAAGACGGUCUUGCUGUCACUUAUAGAUGGAUCCGCGCUGCAUUAGCUAGUUGGUAAGGUAACGGCUUACCAAGGCAACGAUGCAUAGCCCACCUGAGAGGGUGAUUCGCCCCACCGGAACCUGAGAAACGUCCAAGAUCCUACGGGAGGCAGGCGUAGGGAAUCUUCCGCAAUGGGCGAAAGCCUGACGGAGCAACGCCGCGUGAGUGAUGAAGGUCUUCGGAUCGUAAAACUCUGUUAUUAGGGAAGAACAUAUGUGUAAGUAACUGUGCACAUCUUGACGGUACCUAAUCAGAAAGCCACGGCUAACUACGUG
RNAcentral lists this ribosomal RNA (497 nucleotides) under uncultured bacterium. Its description in RNAcentral is "partial 16S ribosomal RNA". It matches the Rfam family "Bacterial small subunit ribosomal RNA", at positions 28 to 507 of the family's 1533-position model. The record is from RNAcentral.